Molecule: ribosomal RNA, 108 nt
Filed under: Maylandia zebra (zebra mbuna)
Lineage: Eukaryota; Metazoa; Chordata; Actinopteri; Cichliformes; Cichlidae
Source: RNAcentral
GCUUAUGGCCAUACCACCCUGAGCAUGUCCGAUCUUGUCUGAUCUCAAAAACUAAGCAGGGUUGGGCUUGGAUGGUAGCCUGCCUGUGAAUGCCAGGUGGUGUGAGUG